GUGCUUGCUUCAGUAGCAUAUAUACUAAAACUGUAACUAUACAGAGAUUAGCAUGGUCUCUGUGCAAGGAUGACAAGCAAAUUGGUGAAGCAUUCCUUAUUUUU
Molecule: small nuclear RNA, 104 nt
Filed under: Dasypus novemcinctus (nine-banded armadillo)
Lineage: Eukaryota; Metazoa; Chordata; Mammalia; Cingulata; Dasypodidae
Source: RNAcentral